AAUGUACUUCAUUGUGUGUCAAUAUCUAUAAUAUACAGUAAUUCAUUGCUUUUUGUCACAUUCCAAGUUUAUUAAAUUUUGCUUAUUUUCCUCUCUUUUUCCCGAGGAGGGAUCGUUGAUGUCAGUAAACUGGACACUGUUUUGCAAAACAUGGGAAUGAAGCUUAUAGGAACAGAAAGUAAAGACUUACUAGAGAAUCUGCCUGUUGAUGCUAUUGGACAGGUGUUUCAAAAUAGGGUUUUGGAUGAAGUAAAGUCUCUCAAAGGCGGGAUGAUUAAUGUCAAUGAUCUGAACAAAGUUCUUGGAAACAUGGGAAUUAAGCUCACAGAAAAAGAACUUGAAGCUCUGAUAGCUAAUCUUCCAGUUGAUGGUGAGCAUGAAGUAUAUAAUAUACUCUAACAUCGCUGAGCUCCAAAGGGUUAUGUCCAAGUAUCUGCUAAAUAUUUCUAUUUAGAUGUCCCAGGCUAAAAAGAAAUUCA
This 479-nucleotide long non-coding RNA is filed under the name Capra hircus (goat). RNAcentral describes it as "lncRNA (ENSCHIG00000005428.1)". Lineage: Eukaryota; Metazoa; Chordata; Mammalia; Artiodactyla; Bovidae. The record is from RNAcentral.